GCCGGGGUGGCGAAACUGGCAGACGCGCUAGGUUCAGGGCUUAGUGGGCAUUGCGCUCAUGUGGGUUCAAGUCCCACCCCCGGCA
RNAcentral lists this transfer RNA (85 nucleotides) under Chloroflexota bacterium. Its description in RNAcentral is "Chloroflexi bacterium (oil production facility metagenome) tRNA-Leu". It matches the Rfam family "tRNA". Rfam says of the family: Transfer RNA (tRNA) molecules are approximately 80 nucleotides in length. Their secondary structure includes four short double-helical elements and three loops (D, anti-codon, and T loops). The record is from RNAcentral. RNAcentral also lists the same sequence under 1 other name. Lineage: Bacteria; Bacillati; Chloroflexota.